AUGUCGGCGCCUGGUUCUCUCUUCCGCCCCCUCUCUCUCUCAUGUCGCCGCCUCCUGAGGCUGUUACCGACCACUCGCCUUCCUCCGGUCGUUGACGGUGUAUAGUGGCGGGCAGGGGUAUUUUUGUCAUUUGCUGACACCUUAGAAGGCCAUAUGACCUGUGGUCUGCUUGCCAACCACCGCUCCUGGUUGGAGCACGAUGGCAACGGUUUUGUGUGUCAAUAUCAUUCAAGUGUUUUACCUCUUUGUGGUUAAUUUUCUUAUGGGUUUUGGUUUCUUGGCUGUGAUCUAGAUGUGAGCCUACUUAAUUGAUGUGUUUUUAGCAGUUUUGUGAUCUAAUUACGGUAUUUUGCUACAGUUUUGUUGGUUGGCUGUGGCAAUCGAUGGUUUUGUCACGCAGCUAUGAUGAUCUCAAAAGUCUUUUACCAAUUGAUUUUGGCAUGGCAAUGAUGGCGGAUGGUAGGGUUUGACCUGCAACCCACCUUGCAGCCAUGAUUUCUGGUAGAUCUGAGCCACAUCGUUUUGUUGUACUUUUCGAGUCUUCUUUCUUGAAGCCAUCUUCAUCACUGUGGUAAAACCCUAACCGCCGUCACCAUCGGUUUCUGCUGAUAACACCUGAAACGGCAAACCCUGGCCACCACUUGUGGUGCGACUGUUGACUAUCGUUGUGGUGACUGAAACCCCAUUCGUCUGCAUGUGUGCUUUUUCAAUAAUUGAGGUAAAACCCAUCUACCCUACCACUGAUCUCAUCUUCUCUCACAACAUCUAUGCCUCUGUUUCUGCUCUGGAGAUGUCUGGUGGCCUAAUAGGAGAUGAACAGUUGUAUUGUCUGCUAAAAUAGAAAAAGGUUGAUUUAAGGUUUUGGAGCUGGCUGGAAAUGCAGCAAGAGACAACAAGAAAACAAAAUCAUUCCGAGACGUGUUUUUAUGGCUUCCAGGUAGUCCUUUUAUCGUUGCAUCGUAGUUAUUUUUCCAUGUGUAACCUAUAAAUUUUCACCUUUACUUUGUGUUUUUAGCAGUUAGAAUGUAGAAUAAGAAUCAAUUGGUUGUGUAAAUCGUUCACCAAGAUUUGUAAACUAUUUGUUUCUGGUUCGUUUUACAACAAGAUCUCAAUUUAAUUGCACUAAUGCAUUGAUGCAUCAUGUUCCUUGAUAAGACAACAAGGGACAAUUUAAGUACUCAUUUGAUUAUUAUUGUUUUGCAAGUCCUGUCAAGCCCUUCAAAGAUGAUUCGGGGUUUGUUUUGGCCUUGAUUAGGAUAGAAAAUAACUUAUUGCCCAUGUUAUUUUACUAUUAUAUAGUGAUUCAGAUGUGGAACCUGUUAUGUUUAAAAUGGUAUUAUUUUAUUUUUAUGUAAUGAUGCACCUGUGCAUAAUAAUCAUAAAUCAUUUUGGAUAACUUUCCAUUUGGAAUUGUCUCAUAUUCCAUAACAUAGGCAAUCCCAUCUUUAACUAGAAGUAAACUUUCCGAAUAACUCAUAAGGAACUGACAGUGGUUUCUGACCCGUAAUCAGCGACGACGUUCCUUCCUCCGCUAAGAUCCGUUGCCUAGCAGUUUCCGGUAAUAAUUUCUAGAGUUGAAAUGUUCGUAUAUGUAGAAAAUAGUUGUGAAGAGUACUUUGGAAUGGGAUUGUAUAACUUAGUUUGUUGAAAUGUUUAUAUAUGUAGAAAUUUGGCGUAGUGGGAUUGUAUAACAUGGUUUGUAUAGCUUAUAGGUAAACUAAUAAAUCCCUUAUGUACUAAUGUGCAUUUUUUUUCAGCUUGCAAAGCUAGGGUAUCAUAUCUCAAGUUCAGUUUUAAGGUUUCUUGAUGGUUAUUUUGACUAUUUUUUCAUAUAAUGAAUACAGUAUACCUUAUAUUAAAUCACAACUCCAAAGCCACGGUUUUGUUUGUUACCUAUGUGUAUUAGCCACGCCAGUUUUUACUUUUUUUUCACUUUGGCCACCUUAGGAAGCUUCUAUCUUUUUACUUGAUGAAUAAGAGAGACAACAAAGAGAAAGGCAGACCUUAAUGAGGGACUCAGACGACAUAAAAAAUGUUAGGACGAAGCUUUCCCUGGUGGUAUCGGUUGGAGUGUACAGGCAGUGGUGGUGCAGAUGCAGCUCCGAUGAAUUGUGGUGUUGAAACAAGGUCAAAACAAAACAAACAGAAGGCGAUAAUGGUGACAGAGUGACAAAGUUUUGGAAUCACAGCCGUGAACUUAGCUGGCUUGGGUUUUUAUCGGAAAUCCGGUGACCCCUUCGAGCUGUGUGUUUCAUUUCAAAGCUAGGAACUACGAGAUACAUGUAAAUCCAAUUACCUAUCUCACGCCACCUCUGGUACAACUUCAAGGUACGUGUAAAUUAAAGAAUGUUAUACAAUUGUUAUAAAUUUUCAGUCCUUUCCACACUCAUGUUUUUGUAUGAUGAGAAGAAGUUUCAUUGAUGUUUUCAUUCCACUUUUGCAAUGUGUGACUACAAAAGAUUGAAAUAAUUACUUCUACUGUCAUUAGUUGGAUGCUUACUUUGGGGUUUUCUUCAUAAAUAGGCAGUCUUUAUUUUGUUAGUUUAAUACAUUAUUGCUUUUAUUUUUAUUCAUUUGUUUUUAGUCAAUAUAUAGGUUAUUAUUAAUGAAAAGAGAACAGUUGACAUCCUUUUGGUUAACACUGAACUGUGACCAAAUUAGGCUGCCCUGCCUCUCGAUAUUCUUGACCCCCUCCACAAGGUCAAAACUAGUUCUCGAUAUUAGGUGAGUGGUCAAAACUCAUUACUUUGAGUAAAAACCAUAAGCAUUAUGUAUUUAUUCCAACUUUUAUUGAAACAGAUUGGUUAAUCAACAAAAGUAGAAAGAUUUGACUAGCUAUUUAUUCUAAUGGAUAUCGUCUAAUUGUCUUAAAUUUAGGUAACGGUCUGACGAUCUAAGAGAGUAGGAAUGAGGCUAUAUCUGAUUAUUAAUUACGAAAUUGGUGGCUCAACUUCUGACUCGCUAGGCAUUUAGCUGAUUCACUGACUCAGCUCGGAAUUGCUUCCAAACAUUACAAAUGGGAGUAGAAACAUAAGACAUAAAAAAGCGAUGGUCUUUAGUAGAUAAACAUAUUUACGGAUGUGAAACUGAAUGAAAUGGUGGAGUGGGCUUUGUAACUUAAAACUUCUGAGUAUAGUGUAAUGUUUCUUUGUUGUAAUCAUCUUCUCCAUUCCAUUGUUGAAGCUUUGUUUUCUCAAGUAAACGUUAAUGCUAUUGGUUCUCCUUUAAUUUUUGUUUUUCAACUCAAAUUUCAAGCAUAAUAAUAGCUUUUUAUUGAUGCUUCUGUUUU
Molecule: long non-coding RNA, 3289 nt
Filed under: Helianthus annuus (common sunflower)
Lineage: Eukaryota; Viridiplantae; Streptophyta; Magnoliopsida; Asterales; Asteraceae
Description: hypothetical non coding rna
Source: RNAcentral